Molecule: ribosomal RNA, 484 nt
Filed under: uncultured bacterium
Lineage: Bacteria
Description: partial 16S ribosomal RNA
Rfam family: Bacterial small subunit ribosomal RNA
Source: RNAcentral
AUUGAACGCUGGCGGCAGGCCUAACACAUGCAAGUCGAGCGGAUGAAGGGAGCUUGCUCCUGGAUUCAGCGGCGGACGGGUGAGUAAUGCCUAGGAAUCUGCCUGGUAGUGGGGGAUAACGUCCGGAAACGGGCGCUAAUACCGCAUACGUCCUGAGGGAGAAAGUGGGGGAUCUUCGGACCUCACGCUAUCAGAUGAGCCUAGGCCGGAUUAGCUAGUUGGUGGGGUAAAGGCCUACCAAGGCGACGAUCCGUAACUGGUCUGAGAGGAUGAUCAGUCACACUGGAACUGAGACACGGUCCAGACUCCUACGGGAGGCAGCAGUGGGGAAUAUUGGACAAAGGGCGAAAGCCUGAUCCAGCCAUGCCGCGUGUGUGAAGAAGGUCUUCGGAUUGUAAAGCACUUUAAGUUGGGAGGAAGGGCAGUAAGUUAAUACCUUGCUGUUUUGACGUUACCAACAGAAUAAGCACCGGCUAACUUCGUG